AGGUUUGUAGGUGCCAUCUUUCCUAAUGACAAAAAAGUAGGCACCUGGCAUGAUGCAGGACCUGUGCCCUCUUUCUGGCCUUAUGGCCUUCCUCAUCAGAGCCUUCUAUUGCUCCGCAUGGGCAAAUAAGAAAGAUUCAAGCCAAGGGAAAAUUGAGAUAAUAAUAAACUGUUAAAUACUGAGAGCUCCAGGCUUCUUCCAGAGAAAUGCAUUCUAUUCUAUUCCUCCAUAUUUUUCAAGUCCAGUUAUUAACCAAAACAAAGAAUCUCAGUAGGCAUGAAAGAUGAAAAUGGUUAAAUUUAAAAUUGAGAAUCAUUUGCGUCAAGAAUCACCAAUAAUUAUUUAUGACACUUUUAUGUCAAAUCUGUUGUGUUGAACCUUUAGUCAUGUUGGGAAAAUGUGGAAGAAAUUUUAGGAAAAGUAAUUGCCAUUGAAGCUAAUGUUAUAUAACCUUGAAUAUAAGAGUAAAUUAGGUAUUUUUUUUAAGAUAUGUAGUUUGGUAUAAAGUGACUUGAAAACUAUUAUUUG
Molecule: long non-coding RNA, 528 nt
Filed under: Bos taurus (domestic cattle)
Lineage: Eukaryota; Metazoa; Chordata; Mammalia; Artiodactyla; Bovidae
Description: long non-coding RNA NONBTAT017324
Source: RNAcentral